GACGAACGCUGGCGGCGUGCUUAACACAUGCAAGUCGAACGGAAAGGCCCUGCUUUUGUGGGGUGCUCGAGUGGCGAACGGGUGAGUAAAACGUGAGUAACCUGCCCUUGACUUUGGGAUAACUUCAGGAAACUGGGGCUAAUACCGGAUAGGAGCUCCUGCUGCAUGGUGGGGGUUGGAAAGUUUCGGCGGUUGGGGAUGGACUCGCGGCUUAUCAGCUUGUUGGUGGGGUAGUGGCUUACCAAGGCAUUGCCGGGUAGCCGGGCUGAGAGGGUGACCGGCCACAUUGGGACUGAGCUGCGGCACAGACUCCUACGGGAGGGAGCAGUGGGGAAUAUUGUACAAUGGGCGGAAGCCUGAUGCAGCAACGCCGCGUGCGGGAUGACGGCCUUCUGGUUGUAAAGCGCUUUCGCCUGUGACGAAGCGUGAGUGACGGUAAUGGGUAAAGAAGCACCGGCUAACUACGUG
Molecule: ribosomal RNA, 468 nt
Filed under: uncultured bacterium
Lineage: Bacteria
Description: partial 16S ribosomal RNA
Rfam family: Bacterial small subunit ribosomal RNA
Source: RNAcentral